GUGGGUAGCGGUGAAAUUCCAAUCGAGCCCGGAGAUAGCUGGUUCUCCCCGAAAUAGCUUUAGGGCUAGCCUCAAGGUGAGAGAUACGGAGGUAGAGCACUGAAUGUCCUAGGGGGUAUUGCACCUACCGAAGACUAUCAAACUCCGAAUGCCGUCAUCUUAUACUUGGGAGUCAGACUGUGGGUGAUAAGAUUCAUAGUCGAAAGGGCAACAGCCCAGAUCGUCAGCUAAGGUCCCUAAAUGUAAGUUAAGUGGUAAAGGAUGUGGGAUUGCACAGACAACCAGGAUGUUGGCUUAGAAGCAGCCACUCAUUCAAAGAGUGCGUAAUAGCUCACUGGUCGAGUGAUCCUGCGCCGAAGAUUUCCGGGGCUAAAACUUACUACCGAAGCUACGGCAUCAGUCAUGAUGGGUAGGGGAGCUUCCCAUACGGGUUGAAGCAUGCCCGUAAGGACAUGUGGACAGUAGGGGAGUGAGAAUGUUGGCAUGAGUAGCGAGAUGUGGGCGAGAAUCCCACCGGCCGUACACCCCAGGUUUCCAGGGGAAGGUGCGUCCGCCCUGGGUUAGUCGGGACCUAAGCUGAGGCCGAAAGGCGUAGGUGAUGGACAACAGGUUGAUAUUCCUGUACUACCGAUAACCGUUUGAGAGAAGGGAUGACACAGUAGGAUAAGCUAAGCACACUGUUGGUUAUGUGUGCCCAAGCAUUGAGGCAGUCAAAGUAGGCAAAUCCGCUUUGAUAAUGCUGGGAUGUGAUGGGGAGCGAAAUUUAGUAGCGAAGUAGCUGAUUUCACACUGUCAAGAAAAGUCUCUAUCGAGGUUAAAGGUACCCGUACCGCAAACCGACACAGGUGGGUGAGGAGAGUAUCCUAAGGCCAGCGAGAGAACUGUUGUUAAGGAACUCGGCAAAAUGACCCCGUAACUUAGGGAUAAGGGGUGCCACCAUCAGGUGGCCGCAGAGAAUAGGCCCAAGCGACUGUUUACCAAAAACAUAGGUUUCUGCUAAGUCGCAAGACGAUGUAUAGG
This 1020-nucleotide ribosomal RNA is filed under the name Clostridioides difficile. RNAcentral describes it as "bacterial LSU rRNA". It matches the Rfam family "Bacterial large subunit ribosomal RNA", at positions 811 to 1849 of the family's 2925-position model. Lineage: Bacteria; Bacillati; Bacillota; Clostridia; Peptostreptococcales; Peptostreptococcaceae. The record is from RNAcentral.